UACGUAGGCAGCGAGCGUUGUUCGGAGUUACUGGGCGUAAAGGGUGUGUAGGCGGUUUUCUAAGUUUGGUGUGAAAUCUCCCGGCUUAACCGGGAGGGUGCGCCGAAAACUGGGAGACUAGAGUGCGGGAUGGGAGAGUGGAAUUCCUGGUGUAGCGGUGAAAUGCGCAGAUAUCAGGAAGAACACCCGUGGCUAAGGCGGCUCUCUAGUACGGUACUGACGCUGAGACGCGAAAGCGUGGGGAGCGAACAGG
Molecule: ribosomal RNA, 253 nt
Filed under: uncultured bacterium
Lineage: Bacteria
Description: partial 16S ribosomal RNA
Rfam family: Bacterial small subunit ribosomal RNA
Source: RNAcentral